RNAcentral lists this ribosomal RNA (254 nucleotides) under uncultured bacterium. RNAcentral's name for it is "partial 16S ribosomal RNA". It matches the Rfam family "Bacterial small subunit ribosomal RNA", at positions 524 to 776 of the family's 1533-position model. The record is from RNAcentral.
UACGUAGGAAGCGAGCGUUGUCCGGAUUCAUUGGGCGUAAAGCGCUUUAAGGCGGUUCGCUAAGUCGCGUGUGAAACCUCCAGGCUCAACCUGGAGACGCCACGCGAUACUGGCGUGACUAGAGUUCGGUAGGGGAUCACGGAAUUCCUGGUGUAGCGGUGAAAUGCGCAGAUAUCAGGAGGAACACCGGUGGCGAAGGCGGUGAUCUGGGCCGACACUGACGCUGUAGAGCGAAAGCGUGGGGAGCGAACAGG